AAUGCAUGUGUAUAUGUGAAUCUCAAAUUUUGUAUACAGCCUUAUAAAAUCUUGGAAACUUAGAAAAUUGCAGGUUUAUCUGUCCUUCAGUUAACUUGUAUUUUUCAAAUUUUCCCAAAUAAUUAGGAGAUAUAUAUUUUGCCUUAUGAUACUUUGGUAUUAGAGUAAUGGUCUCAUCAGUUUUCAGUGGUGGUGUUUGCCUCACAAUUGGUCAGUACAAUUUUGCCUCAGUUGUAUUUAGUAAGAAGAAAAAGACUCAAGCUGAAACGAACCCUCUAUUACAUUUUAUUUUGACAUUAUUUUUUAACUACUAUUUUGAACAUCAGACCUUUAGAACACCCCUAAAAUCUUAAACAAAAAAACGUUUAAAUUUCAGUUCCCUUGGAAUAGUGCUAUACUAUUAGUGCUAUACUAAUAGUGCUAUAUGUUGUAAGAGGGCUGUCACAUAAAGUUUGUAUGGGUUGAGCUGUGCAGACAGGCAUCUAGCCAGGGAGAUAACUUCCGGUAGAAAACCAGCCUGCAUUUGCAACAAGUAUGUGCACUGACAAGAAGGGCGCAUUUCCAUAGCAUGCUCACAAAAGGACAUUUAAUGUAGCAAGGCACUUUCACAGUAGGAUUCUUCAAAGAUCCCUCAGCAAAGUAGAUAAGCAGUUCUUGGUUUGAAAGUCAUAUACUGCUGGGCACAGGAGGCAUGGGAUCCUCCCAGCAGCACGGGAAGCUGAGGCAGGAGGAUCGUGAAUUCAAGCCAGCUUCAGCAACUUAGUGAGAUUCUGUCUCAAUAAGUUAAAAAAGGACUGGGGGUGUGGCUCAGUGGUUAAGCACCCCAGGUUCAAUCCCUGGUACAAGAAAGAGAAGGGGGCUGUGUGAGUGUUGGAUGGUGGGGGGGACCCAUGCUUUGCCGAAAAUUUCCAGACAAGUAAGAAUUCCCUGGUAAGCAUAUAAGUAGAAUUCUGCUAUCAAGAGCACUACAGUUGAAAAAUGUUGGGGGGUGUGGGGGAAGACACCUUAAAUAAUGAUCAGCUAAGGAUGACUAGUAUUAGCGUUCAAAGUUAACUCCAUAUUACCUAGAAGUAGAAAUAGCAGUGAAGACAAUGUGGUUUUGUGACUCAAAAAUGAAUGCUAAUUUUCCCAAGAUGAC
RNAcentral lists this long non-coding RNA (1138 nucleotides) under Marmota monax (woodchuck). The record is from RNAcentral. Lineage: Eukaryota; Metazoa; Chordata; Mammalia; Rodentia; Sciuridae.